CUACUCAAGAUUUUAAUCCUGUCGGCUCAUACCUAACACGUUCUGCCCUAGCAUAAUCCGGUAAAAGACCUACCACACAAAAAUUAUCAAUUGGCUUGAAAGAAAAGGAUAGGCUGUGGGUAUGGCAAACUGAUCAAAAGAAAGAUCAGCUACUUGGAUCAACAAGAGUGGUGAAAGGAGGAAGAUGAUCCAAAUAUGUAUAUGAUGACCAUGAGCAUGCAAGUAAAACACAACCAGAUAUUUCCAAGUCAAGAUUAAGUUCUUAUAAGGUAAGGAAUGAGAUCAUAUCACAACAUGUUUCACCCAAGUUCAAGAAUGCUCUUCAUGAAUUCCAAGUUUGUUUCAGACUUACUUCAAGUUCAAUUAUCAUGCAUCAAAGAGCUAAAAACCAUGGCACUGAUCUCAACUAGUGAAUCAUAGCAAGUUAACAAGGUGUAAAUCAUCAUCGCCCCCUAUG
This 457-nucleotide long non-coding RNA is filed under the name Capsella grandiflora. Its description in RNAcentral is "long non-coding RNA (CGRA_LNC000207)". The record is from RNAcentral. Lineage: Eukaryota; Viridiplantae; Streptophyta; Magnoliopsida; Brassicales; Brassicaceae.